GCCUUCGUGGUGUAGUUGUCUGCAUGUUCGACGCGUAACCGAGAGGUCCGUGGUUCGAUUCCCGGCGAAGGCG
Non-coding RNA from Stegodyphus mimosarum, 73 nucleotides. The record is from Rfam. NCBI's taxonomy places the organism in Eukaryota, Metazoa, Arthropoda, Arachnida, Araneae, Eresidae.